GCGUUUUAACAUUUUACCUUUUGUCUUUCCAACAUCUAAAAAAUUGUGUUCCACGUUUCUUAAUCCAAAAGACACAACAAAUGAGUAAGCUUUUCCUCUUUCUUUCUUUACAAUUCAGUUAAAUGUUUUUUAAGUUUCAAUCCUCUGCAUCUUCUCGGCUGGCUAUUCUAAUUUCAGAAGUUAUUCUUCCAGUCUGAUUUUAAUUUAUGGGGUAGAAGACGAGCCCAGAUCUGCUUAAAUUGAGUGGAAGAUAGACAAGAAGUUUGGAGGUGCACACCUUUUCGUCAUGGAAUACUGCCUUGCAGGGGAUAUCCACACUCUUAGACUGAGAAAGUUGUUUACCCCGAAUUUAGGUAGCUUCACUGUGAGGCAAGAGGAUGCACGAGCUACUAGAAGAAGAGCUGAUUCUGUGAUAAAACAUAUCAUUCAGGACUAUGGUAUAUGAAGGUCACAUAUAUGACAGUUUUUGAAGCGAACUGAACCUCAAACUGCUAUCUGCCUCACUCCACUGUCUUUUUGAAAAGUUGGAUUACAUAAAAACAAGAAUCUAGACGACACACGAUGCUUUGAAAAGGUAUUUUGUCAACCACGGCGUCACCAGCUACAAUGGUAACUGCAAAGAACAAGAGACUGCCAAUGGCAUAGUAGCCGGUGCAUUACUAUUUUGCCUUUUGCCAAUACCAGUUUCGGUCAAUAUGUAAAAAAUGUGCAUAUAUACAUAAACAGUGCGAUCAUGAAUGUAUAUAUGGCUACCGUUAAAACAAUAUGCUUCAGCUAGGCAAUACUUCCUUUUGUCAAUAUAUAAAUAAUGUGUGUAACAGUUUAAACAAUAUGCUACCCUACCCAGUACAAGUUCUAAAUCUACAUAAAGCACAGUUUUUCUA
Lycium barbarum (goji berry) is the source of this 884-nucleotide long non-coding RNA. RefSeq lists it as uncharacterized. Lineage: Eukaryota; Viridiplantae; Streptophyta; Magnoliopsida; Solanales; Solanaceae. The transcript is spliced from 5 exons. The record is from RefSeq and is a predicted model, not a curated record.